Molecule: RNase P RNA, 333 nt
Filed under: Peptococcaceae bacterium 1109
Lineage: Bacteria; Bacillati; Bacillota; Clostridia; Eubacteriales; Peptococcaceae
Also listed under: 2 other names
Description: bacterial RNase P
Rfam family: Bacterial RNase P class A
About the family: Ribonuclease P (RNase P) is a ubiquitous endoribonuclease, found in archaea, bacteria and eukarya as well as chloroplasts and mitochondria. Its best characterised activity is the generation of mature 5'-ends of tRNAs by cleaving the 5'-leader elements of precursor-tRNAs.
Source: RNAcentral
CGAGUGGACCAGGUGAUCGCGGGGGAGACCCUGAGGAAAGUCCGAGCUCCGCAGAGCAGGGUGCUGGGUAAUGCCCAGUGGGGGCAACCCCAAGGCUAGUGCCACAGAAACAUACCGCCCGUAAGGGUAAGGGUGAAACGGUGAGGUAAGAGCUCACCAGCGGCCAGGUGACUGGCUGGCUAGGUAAACCCCACCCGGAGCAAGGCCAAAUAGGGAGGGAGAGGCUGCUCGUCUCGUUAGACUUCCGGGUUGGCUGCUUGAGACUGUAGGUAACUGCAGUCCUAGAUAGAUGAUCACCCUCGACAGAACUCGGCUUAUCGGUUCACUCGUCUC